UUUGAUUAAAUUAGAUAAGAUGUGGCAUUCUUUAAAAAUAUAUGCAUGUUUUGGAAUAUAUGCAUGUGAUUGAAUGUAUGGAUAUUAUUUUAUUUUUGAUAAAGUAGUUUUACCAAAAGUUGUGAUUCCUAGAAAUUAGAUUAGGUGUAAUUUAGGUUUCAUAAAUUUUAAGUUAUGGAAUUAGAUCAUGGACUUUUACCUCCAUACAUGUUUUUAUUUAUUUUUAUUUUAGAAUAAUUUUAUGUGAGCC
Molecule: long non-coding RNA, 250 nt
Filed under: Gossypium barbadense (sea-island cotton)
Lineage: Eukaryota; Viridiplantae; Streptophyta; Magnoliopsida; Malvales; Malvaceae
Description: long non-coding RNA (GBAR_LNC014257)
Source: RNAcentral